UCCAGACUCCUACGGGAGGCAGCAGUGGGGGAUAUUGCACAAUGGGGGAAACCCUGAUGCAGCGACGCCGCGUGAGUGAAGAAGUAUUUCGGUAUGUAAAGCUCUAUCAGCAGGGAAGAAAAAAGACGGUACCUGACUAAGAAGCCCCGGCUAACUACGUGCCAGCAGCCGCGGUAAUACGUAGGGGGCAAGCGUUAUCCGGAUUUACUGGGUGUAAAGGGAGCGUAGACGGCAAUACAAGUCGGAAGUGAAAUACCCGGGCUCAACCUGGGAACUGCUUUGGAAACUGUAUGGCUGGAGUGCUGGAGAGGUAAGCGGAAUUCCUAGUGUAGCGGUGAAAUGCGUAGAUAUUAGGAGGAACACCAGUGGCGAAGGCGGCUUACUGGACAGUAACUGACGUUGAGGCUCGAAAGCGUGGGGAGCAAACAGGAUUAGAUACCCUGGUA
RNAcentral lists this ribosomal RNA (446 nucleotides) under uncultured bacterium. Its description in RNAcentral is "bacterial SSU rRNA". It matches the Rfam family "Bacterial small subunit ribosomal RNA", at positions 330 to 792 of the family's 1533-position model. The record is from RNAcentral.